GUAGGUGGCAAGCGUUGUCCGGAAUUAUUGGGCGUAAAGCGCGCGCAGGUGGUUCUUUAAGUCUGAUGUGAAAGCCCCCGGCUCAACCGGGGAGGGUCAUUGGAAACUGGGGAACUUGAGUGCAGGAGAGGAAAGUGGAAUUCCACGUGUAGCGGUGAAAUGCGUAGAUAUGUGGAGGAACACCAGUGGCGAAGGCGACUUUCUGGCCUGUAACUGACACUGAGGCGCGAAAGCGUGGGGAGCAAACAGGGAUUAGAUACCCUGGUAGUCCACGCCGUAAACGAUGAGUGCUAAGUGUUGGGGGGGUUUCCCGCCCCUCAGUGCUUCAGCUAACGCAUUAAGCACUCCGCCUGGGGAUACGGUCGCAAGACUG
This 373-nucleotide ribosomal RNA is filed under the name uncultured organism. Its description in RNAcentral is "partial 16S ribosomal RNA". It matches the Rfam family "Bacterial small subunit ribosomal RNA", at positions 527 to 896 of the family's 1533-position model. The record is from RNAcentral.